This is a long non-coding RNA of Anthonomus grandis grandis, 424 nucleotides long. RefSeq lists it as uncharacterized. Lineage: Eukaryota; Metazoa; Arthropoda; Insecta; Coleoptera; Curculionidae. The transcript is spliced from 3 exons. The record is from RefSeq and is a predicted model, not a curated record.
UAAAAUAUCUUAAUUUAAAAGAUGAUCAAAAGUUACCUUAGGUCAUUAUUUUAUUUGACAGGUUUAAUUUAAGAUUCAAGACUUAUUAACAGUGCAUCUCAUCGCAAAGUUAAUUUAGAAGUUAUGUAUUAAUUAAAGAGACAAAAACCUGAACCUCUGAAGUACUCAGCUCACUUUGGAUAACAACCUUCAGAGAGCAACCGGCUAUUAGAAGAUGAUCCAGAUUGCAGAAACAAGGUUUGCCACAACACAACCGAAAUAAAUGAUAAUACUCUAGACUACUAAAGCAGAUAUGUUUUUCAAGCGGAGCAACCGCUUGUUUAAAUGGACAAGUAAAUAGGCAUACGUUUAAGUAAUGGGCACCUAAUAAUCUACAUUGGUUUAGGGAAAGUCAUUCUCAAAAAAAUGAAAAAAUGAAUGUAUG